Molecule: ribosomal RNA, 427 nt
Filed under: uncultured bacterium
Lineage: Bacteria
Description: partial 16S ribosomal RNA
Rfam family: Bacterial small subunit ribosomal RNA
Source: RNAcentral
UGGGGAAUAUUGCACAAUGGGCGCAAGCCUGAUGCAGCCAUGCCGCGUGUAUGAAGAAGGCCUUCGGGUUGUAAAGUACUUUCAGCGGGGAGGAAGGGAGUAAAGUUAAUACCUUUGCUCAUUGACGUUACCCGCAGAAGAAGCACCGGCUAACUCCGUGCCAGCAGCCGCGGUAAUACGGAGGGUGCAAGCGUUAAUCGGAAUUACUGGGCGUAAAGCGCACGCAGGCGGUUUGUUAAGUCAGAUGUGAAAUCCCCGGGCUCAACCUGGGACAUGCAUCUGAUAGUGGCAAGCUGGAGUCUCGUAGAGGGGGGUAGAAUUCCAGGUGUAGCGGUGAAAUGCGUAGAGAUCUGGAGGAAUACCGGUGGCGAAGGCGGCCCCCUGGACGAAGACUGACGCUCAGGUGCGAAAGCGUGGGGAGCAAACA